CUAAGAAUCUUCCGCAAUGGGGGAAACCCUGACGGAGCGACGCCGCGUGGACGAAGAAGGCCGCAAGGUUGUAAAGUCCUUUUGCAGACGAAGAAUAAGGCUCGGAGUGGAACGCCGAACUGAUGACGUUAGUCUGCGAAUAAGCCCCGGCCAAUUACGUGCCAGCAGCCGCGGUAACACGUAUGGGGCAAGCGUUGUUCGGAAUCACUGGGCGUAAAGGGCGUGUAGGCGGUUCGAAAAGCCCGGCGUGAAAGGUGUCGGCCCAACCGACAGACUGCGCUGGGAACUGCCGGACUGGAGUCAUGGAGGGGGAGCUGGAAUUCCAGGUGUAGGGGUGAAAUCUGUAGAGAUCUGGAAGAACACCGGUGGCGAAGGCGAGCUUCUGGCCAAUGACUGACGCUGAGGCGCGAAAGCGUGGGGAGCAAACAGG
RNAcentral lists this ribosomal RNA (430 nucleotides) under uncultured Spirochaeta sp. RNAcentral's name for it is "bacterial SSU rRNA". It matches the Rfam family "Bacterial small subunit ribosomal RNA", at positions 355 to 776 of the family's 1533-position model. The record is from RNAcentral. Lineage: Bacteria; Pseudomonadati; Spirochaetota; Spirochaetia; Spirochaetales; Spirochaetaceae.